GAUGAACGCUGGCGGCGUGCCUAAUACAUGCAAGUCGAGCGAACAGACGAGGCGCUUGCUCCUCUGACGUUAGCGGCGGACGGGUGAGUAACACGUGGAUAACCUACCUAUAAGACUGGGAUAACUUCGGGAAACCGGAGCUCAUACCGGAUAAUAUAUUGAACCGCAUGGUUCAAUAGUGAAAGACGGUUUUGCUGUGACUUAUAGAUAGAUCCGCGCCGCAUUAGCUAGUUGGUAAGGUAACGGCUUACCAAGGCGACGAUGCGUAGCCGACCUGAGAGGGUGUUCGGCCACACUGGGACUGAGAGACGGUCCAGACUCCUACGGGAGGCAGCAGUAGGGACUCGUCCGCGAUGGGCGAAAGCCUGACGGAGCAACGCCGCGUGAGUGAUGAAGGGCUUCGGAUCGUAAAACUCUGUUAUUAGUGAAGAACAAAUGUGUAAGUAACUAUGCACGUCUCGACGGUACCUAAUCAGAAAGCCACGGCUAACUACGUG
Molecule: ribosomal RNA, 497 nt
Filed under: uncultured bacterium
Lineage: Bacteria
Description: partial 16S ribosomal RNA
Rfam family: Bacterial small subunit ribosomal RNA
Source: RNAcentral